RNAcentral lists this ribosomal RNA (266 nucleotides) under uncultured Staphylococcus sp. RNAcentral's name for it is "partial 16S ribosomal RNA". It matches the Rfam family "Bacterial small subunit ribosomal RNA", at positions 96 to 355 of the family's 1533-position model. Lineage: Bacteria; Bacillati; Bacillota; Bacilli; Caryophanales; Staphylococcaceae. The record is from RNAcentral.
CGGCGGACGGGUGAGUAACACGUGGGUAACCUACCUAUAAGACUGGGACAACUUCGGGAAACCGGAGCUAAUACCGGAUAAGAUAUCGAACCGCAUGGUUCGAUAGUGAAAGAUGGUUUUGCUAUCACUUAUAGAUGGACCCGCGCCGUAUUAGCUAGUUGGUGAGGUAACGGCUCACCAAGGCAACGAUACGUAGCCGACCUGAGAGGGUGAUCGGCCACACUGAAACUGAGACACGGUCCAGACUCCUACGGGAGGCAGCAGUU